CUUAGGCUUAGGAUAUUUUGUCGAAGAGCUUCUAGAGAGGAAAGAAGAGGAAAAGGGAGGAAGAUGAGAGAAUUCAAUCUAGGAGAUUAGAGCUUGGGAAUUGAAGGGGGAAACCAAGGAUCUAGCUCAAGGUCACUUGCCGGAAGGGACCAUUACGCGACCGAAUCACUGUGGUCAGCUUGGAGGCCAGCCCUAGGUCAGCUUCAAGCGCCUUUUGUGGACAUUUUUGUUAAGUCCUACAUUGGAGUCUUUUGUCUCUUAAGGAGUUCAAUGCCACAUUUUUGUUAAAUUCUUGGUGGCUUUUGUUACAAAUUUUGUGAUUAUGUAACUUUUGAGGUUCUUAACUCCUUGUACGUACACAUGCUUGGAUUCUAUUUUUAUUUGAAUGGUGCAUGUAAACUUCUCCGUUUAUGAGAUAUGUAAUAAUCUUGCCAUAUAGACACUG
Molecule: non-coding RNA, 445 nt
Organism: Camellia sinensis
Lineage: Eukaryota; Viridiplantae; Streptophyta; Magnoliopsida; Ericales; Theaceae
Source: RefSeq, a predicted model, not a curated record